GACAGAGGUGCCGAGCGUUAGGCGGAAUCACUGGGCUUAAAGCGUGUGUAGGCGGAUCGUUAAGUGCCUUGUGAAAUCCCACGGCUCAACCGUGGAACUGCUUGGCAUACUGGCGAUCUUGAGCCACUUAGGGGCUACCGGAACAAAUGGUGGAGCGGUGAAAUGCGUAGAUAUCAUUUGGAACGCCUAUGGUGAAAACAGGUAGCUGGGAGUGUGCUGACGCUGAGACACGAAAGCCAGGGGAGCAAACGGG
RNAcentral lists this ribosomal RNA (253 nucleotides) under uncultured bacterium. Its description in RNAcentral is "partial 16S ribosomal RNA". It matches the Rfam family "Bacterial small subunit ribosomal RNA", at positions 524 to 776 of the family's 1533-position model. The record is from RNAcentral.